AAGUCGUAACAAGGUUUCCGUAGGUGAACCUGCGGAAGGAUCAUUAUCAGAGCUUUGCUCAUUCCAUUCUUGUGAAAAUUCUAGUCUUCAAAUUAAAACUUUCAACAACGGAUCUCUUGGCUCCG
RNAcentral lists this unclassified non-coding RNA (125 nucleotides) under fungal sp. RNAcentral describes it as "partial contains small subunit ribosomal RNA, internal transcribed spacer 1, and 5.8S ribosomal RNA". The stretch from base 1 to 46 matches the Rfam family "Eukaryotic small subunit ribosomal RNA", at positions 1786 to 1831 of the family's 1831-position model. Lineage: Eukaryota; Fungi. The record is from RNAcentral.